GAGUUUGAUCCUGGCUCAGGAUGAACGCUGGCGGCGUGCCUAACACAUGCAAGUCGAACGAAGCGAUUAGGAUGAAGUUUUCGGAUGGAUUCCUGGUUGACUGAGUGGCGGACGGGUGAGUAACGCGUGGAUAACCUGCCUCACACUGGGGGAUAACAGUUAGAAAUGGCUGCUAAUACCGCAUAAGCGCACAGUACCGCAUGGUACGGUGUGAAAAACCCAGGUGGUGUGGGAUGGAUCCGCGUCUGAUUAGCCAGUUGGCGGGGUAACGGCCCACCAAAGCGACGAUCAGUAGCCGACCUGAGAGGGUGACCGGCCACAUUGGGACUGAGACACGGCCCAAACUCCUACGGGAGGCAGCAGUGGGGAAUAUUGCACAAUGGGCGAAAGCCUGAUGCAGCGACGCCGCGUGAGUGAAGAAGUAUCUCGGUAUGUAAAGCUCUAUCAGCAGGGAAGAAAAUGACGGUACCUGACUAAGAAG
This 481-nucleotide ribosomal RNA is filed under the name uncultured bacterium. RNAcentral describes it as "bacterial SSU rRNA". It matches the Rfam family "Bacterial small subunit ribosomal RNA", at positions 9 to 490 of the family's 1533-position model. The record is from RNAcentral.